GUGCUCACUUUGGCAGCACACAGAGUAAAAUUGGACCGAUACAGAGAUUAGCUUGGUUCCUGCUCAAGGAUGGCAUGCACAUUCAUGAAGCCGUCCAGAUUUUU
This is a small nuclear RNA of Onychomys torridus (southern grasshopper mouse), 104 nucleotides long. The record is from RefSeq and is a predicted model, not a curated record. Lineage: Eukaryota; Metazoa; Chordata; Mammalia; Rodentia; Cricetidae.